This is a non-coding RNA of Miniopterus natalensis, 1472 nucleotides long. The record is from RefSeq and is a predicted model, not a curated record. NCBI's taxonomy places the organism in Eukaryota, Metazoa, Chordata, Mammalia, Chiroptera, Miniopteridae.
AAAUAACUACUUGUUAAUUCCACUAAAGAAAUAUAUUUCGAGUAUGUUAGGAUAUUCUUUAUUUUUAUUUGGUAUCUAGAAAUUUUGAUGAAUAAGCACAAAACCUGACAUAGUAAAUGGUAUUAAUGUGAACCCCAUGGACUCUUUAUAUUGUACUACAUUUCUUCCUCUAAUGAGGUGACAUCCUUUGACUCUGAAAAAAAUUAAUACUAUUACUAUUUGGGCCUUUUUUAUACCAAAUAAGGAAAUGAACAAAUUCUUGAAAUUGUAAGGUUUCAAGAUGUUUUUGCGUCACAAGAAAAUAUGGUUCUUUGCAAAGCAAACUCAUGUCACUAAGUAGACUUUUUAUACACAAAUGCAAUGGGUGGUUAUUGUUUUAGAAUACGAGUUUCUAGAAACAUGUGCUGCAUGCCUGAUUGACUUAAAAUUUUGUUCGAAUGGUAUUUCAAUACUGUUCAGAACAAAUCUUAAACAUUUUCCUAAAAAAUGUACACACUGCAUGUAUUUUAGGUGAUUGGCUUCCUCAGGGAUGGUACCAUUCAGACAGGACUGGGAGACUUUCGUCACCUACGUUUCAUCAGAUGAAGUCACUAAGGUAACUUAAAGGCUAAUAGAAAAAGUUGAAGAAAGAUACACUUUGGUUUAUAAUAAGAAAGUUUCCCACCACUUGCAUCACUGUCUAAUAAGGUCAGAGGCAGUAGAGCAGAAACUGAAUGAUGCUCGGCCAGCAACACCCUAGAGAGAGUAGGGCUUUGGAAGUAACAUUAGAUGAGCCCUGGUGUUCCUUCUAACCAUCGGAUUCUAGGAUAACUAAGCACAAUGAGGCUGCUGGAGAGUUUCUCUUGUGUUAGGUGAGGCUAGGUGGCCAAGAAGCAAAUUCAAGUAGUUAUGAAUAAUGAUGAUGAUGAUGAUGAUGAUAGCAAAAAGUAAACUUGGGGAACGAUGUGACACUUCAGUUGGAGGUCUGAUCGUACAGUUAUUUUUGACAAAGGCAGGCUGAAGUAAAGCUGACUGUCAGGAGCCAGGAUUUGAGAACAUUUCUACAGCAUCUCAAAGAAAAACCAAAGGCAGCCCUGACAUGGCCAAUGGUUUGAUCAAUGUUUAAACUGAAAGGAACUCUUUAAUGCAUGAAACUCUACAUCUAUUUGGCAACACUGUGCCCAGAAACAGACUCUCAUAUGUGAAAAAGAAUGAGAUCGUCCUUAAAUAUUUUCCCAUCUCCAUAAUCAGAGGUAGUUGUGUUGCUCGUGGAAACAGGAUUCUUUCAAGGCAUUGCAUGAAAGGCAUUUCAAGGAUACACGCAUAGGAGGAUGGGUGGUAUUGUGGCAAGGUUUAUUGGAACAAAAAGAAAGGACUGCCCCCAGGUGUCCGAUGUCUCAUCCAGGACCAGCUGGCUCAGCUCUGUCUCUCUGAGGAAGAAGUCCACCUCUGGGUCCUGAGACGCGUACUUGUCCUCUCCAAGCCCAGAAGAA